RNAcentral lists this non-coding RNA (22 nucleotides) under Rattus norvegicus (Norway rat). The record is from RNAcentral. Lineage: Eukaryota; Metazoa; Chordata; Mammalia; Rodentia; Muridae.
UGAAAUAUAAGCCUACUCCUAA